GACGAACGCUGGCGGCGUGCUUAACACAUGCAAGUCGAACGGACCCUUUGGGGUUAGUGGCGAACGGGUGAGUAACACGUGGGUGAUCUGCCCUGCACUUUGGGAUAAGCCUGGGAAACUGGGUCUAAUACCGGAUAGGACUACGCACUGCAUGGUGUGUGGUGGAAAGCUUUUGCGGUGUGGGAUGGGCCCGCGGCCUAUCAGCUUGUUGGUGGGGUGAUGGCCUACCAAGGCGACGACGGGUAGCCGGCCUGAGAGGGUGACCGGCCACACUGGGACUGAGAUACGGCCCAGACUCCUACGGGAGGCAGCAGUGGGGAAUAUUGCACAAUGGGCGCAAGCCUGAUGCAGCGACGCCGCGUGAGGGAUGACGGCCUUCGGGUUGUAAACCUCUUUCGCCAGGGACGAAGCGCAAGUGACGGUACCUGGAGAAGAAGGACCGGCCAACUACGUGUCAGCAGCCGCGGUAAUACGUAGGGUCCGAGCGUUGUCCGGAAUUACUGGGCGUAAAGAGCUCGUAGGUGGUUUGUCGCGUUGUUCGUGAAAACUCACAGCUUAACUGUGGGCGUGCGGGCGAUACGGGCAGACUGGAGUACUGCAGGGGAGACUGGAAUUCCUGGUGUAGCGGUGGAAUGCGCAGAUAUCAGGAGGAACACCGGUGGCGAAGGCGGGUCUCUGGGCAGUAACUGACGCUGAGGAGCGAAAGCGUGGGGAGCGAACAGGAUUAGAUACCCUGGUAGUCCACGCCGUAAACGGUGGGUACUAGGUGUGGGUUUCCUUCCUUGGGAUCCGUGCCGUAGCUAACGCAUUAAGUACCCCGCCUGGGGAGUACGGCCGCAAGGCUAAAACUCAAAGGAAUUGACGGGGGCCCGCACAAGCGGCGGAGCAUGUGGAUUAAUUCGAUGCAACGCGAAGAACCUUACCUGGGUUUGACAUGCACAGGACGCCGGCAGAGAUGUCGGUUCCCUUGUGGCCUGUGUGCAGGUGGUGCAUGGCUGUCGUCAGCUCGUGUCGUGAGAUGUUGGGUUAAGUCCCGCAACGAGCGCAACCCUUGUCUCAUGUUGCCAGCACGUUAUGGUGGGGACUCGUGAGAGACUGCCGGGGUCAACUCGGAGGAAGGUGGGGAUGACGUCAAGUCAUCAUGCCCCUUAUGUCCAGGGCUUCACACAUGCUACAAUGGCCGGUACAAAGGGCUGCGAUGCCGUGAGGUGGAGCGAAUCCUUUCAAAGCCGGUCUCAGUUCGGAUCGGGGUCUGCAACUCGACCCCGUGAAGUCGGAGUCGCUAGUAAUCGCAGAUCAGCAACGCUGCGGUGAAUACGUUCCCGGGCCU
Molecule: ribosomal RNA, 1330 nt
Filed under: uncultured bacterium
Lineage: Bacteria
Description: bacterial SSU rRNA
Rfam family: Bacterial small subunit ribosomal RNA
Source: RNAcentral